CUUUUUUCCCUACUGUAGGCAGCUCAUGGCCGAAGGGGACCUACAGGCCCACAGGGGAAACCGGGCAUCCCAGGUCCAGAUGGACUUGCAGGGUCACUGGGGCUUAAGGGUCCUCAGGGUCCAAGAGGAGAAGCUGGUACGAAAGGAGAAAAAGGAAAUCUGGGAAGUAAAGGUCCCCAGGUAUGUAA
Odocoileus virginianus texanus is the source of this 188-nucleotide non-coding RNA. Lineage: Eukaryota; Metazoa; Chordata; Mammalia; Artiodactyla; Cervidae. The record is from RefSeq and is a predicted model, not a curated record.